This 497-nucleotide ribosomal RNA is filed under the name uncultured bacterium. RNAcentral's name for it is "partial 16S ribosomal RNA". It matches the Rfam family "Bacterial small subunit ribosomal RNA", at positions 28 to 507 of the family's 1533-position model. The record is from RNAcentral.
GAUGAACGCUGGCGGCGUGCCUAAUACAUGCAAGUCGAGCGAACGGACGAUAAGCUUUCUUCUCUGAUGUUAGCGGCGGACGGGUGAGUAACACGUGGAUAACCUACCUAUAAGACUGGGAUAACUUCGGGAAACCGGAGCUAAUACCGGAUAAUAUUUUGAACCGCAUGGUUCAAAAGUGAAUGACGGUCUUGCUGUCACUUAUAGAUGGAUCCGCGCUGCAUUAGCUAGUUGGUAAGGUAACGGCUUACCAAGGCAACGAUGCAUAGCCGACCUGAGAGGGUGAUCGGCCACACUGGAACUGAGACACGGUCCAGACUCCUACGGGAGGCAGCAGUAGGGAAUAUUCCGCAAUGGGCGAAAGCCUGACGGAGCAACGCCGCGUGAGUGAUGAAGGUCUUCGGAUCGUAAAACUCUGUUAUUAGGGAAGAAAAUAUGUGUAAGUAACUGUGCACAUCUUGACGGUACCUAAUCAGAAAGCCACGGCUAACUACGUG